This 473-nucleotide ribosomal RNA is filed under the name uncultured bacterium. RNAcentral's name for it is "bacterial SSU rRNA". It matches the Rfam family "Bacterial small subunit ribosomal RNA", at positions 28 to 511 of the family's 1533-position model. The record is from RNAcentral.
GAUGAACGCUAGCUACAGGCUUAACACAUGCAAGUCGAGGGGCAGCACAGUGUAGCAAUACAUGGGUGGCGACCGGCGCACGGGUGCGUAACGCGUAUCCAACCUUCCCGAUACUCAGGGAUAGCCUUCCGAAAGGGAGAUUAAUACCUGAUGGUGUUUCAAUUCCGCAUGUUAAUGAAACUAAAGAUUUAUCGGUAUCGGAUGGGGAUGCGUGACAUUAGAUAGUAGGCGGGGUAACGGCCCACCUAGUCUACGAUGUCUAGGGGUUCUGAGAGGAAGGUCCCCCACACUGGAACUGAGACACGGUCCAGACUCCUACGGGAGGCAGCAGUGAGGGAUAUUGGUCAAUGGGGGAAACCCUGAACCAGCGACGCCGCGUGAGGGAAGACGGUUUUCGGAUUGUAAACCUCUGUCUUUGGGGACGAAUAAAUGACGGUACCCAAGGAGGAAGCCAACGGCUAACUACGUGCCAG